Molecule: transfer RNA, 59 nt
Filed under: Prevotella sp.
Lineage: Bacteria; Pseudomonadati; Bacteroidota; Bacteroidia; Bacteroidales; Prevotellaceae
Description: tRNA-Met
Rfam family: tRNA
About the family: Transfer RNA (tRNA) molecules are approximately 80 nucleotides in length.
Source: RNAcentral
AGCUCAGUUGGUUAGAGCAACAGACUCAUAAUCUGGAGGUCCUUGGUUCAAGCCCUAGA